This is an RNA transcript of Lipotes vexillifer (Yangtze River dolphin), 2859 nucleotides long. It is a transcript of the gene named pre-mRNA processing factor 39, with no coding region annotated. The transcript has 14 exons. NCBI's taxonomy places the organism in Eukaryota, Metazoa, Chordata, Mammalia, Artiodactyla, Lipotidae. The record is from RefSeq and is a predicted model, not a curated record.
ACCGACGCAUGCGCGCCGCACUCUCGACGAGGCGGCCGUGGCGUUGGUGGCCUCUGCUCCGGUGUCUGUGGGGACAGAGACGGUGGAAGUGCCCUCUUCGGCUCGGUUGGCCCAGACUGCGGCUCAUGGCAUUGAGUGGCAUCCGUCGUCAGAUCAUUAACUGAAGAAAAAAUAAACAGCCAUGCAAAAUUCUCACAUGGAUGAGUACAGAAAUUCCAAUAAUGGCAGCACAGGCAACAGUUCAGAGGUAGUGGUAGAUCAGUCUACUGAUUUCAGUACUGAGAUUAUGAAUGUUACAGAAAUGGAACAGUCACCCGAUGGAUCUCCUAAUGUGAAUACAACUACGGAAGAAAAUGAAAUAGCAAAUACUGUGGACCUUCCAGUGACAGAAACAGAAGCAAAUUUCCCUCCAGAAUAUGAAAAGUUUUGGAAAACUGUAGAAAGUAAUCCUCAGGAUUUUACAGGCUGGGUAUAUUUGCUUCAGUAUGUAGAACAGGAGAAUCACUUGAUGGCUGCCAGGAAAGCGUUUGACAAAUUUUUCAUACACUAUCCGUAUUGCUAUGGUUAUUGGAAAAAGUAUGCAGACCUCGAAAAGCGGCACGACAACAUUAAACAAUCAGAUGAGGUGUAUCGCCGGGGGCUUCAGGCAAUACCUCUUAGUGUUGACCUUUGGAUACAUUAUGUAAACUUCUUAAAAGAAACAUUGGACCCUGGUGAUCCUGAGACAAACAGUACAAUAAGAGGAACUUUUGAGCAUGCUGUUCUAGCUGCAGGAACAGAUUUCCGAUCUGACAGGCUCUGGGAAAUGUAUAUAAACUGGGAAAAUGAACAGGGAAACCUGAGAGAAGUUACAGCUAUAUACGAUCGUAUUCUUGGUAUUCCAACACAGCUGUACAGUCAUCAUUUUCAGAGAUUUAAAGAACAUAUACAGAAUAACUUACCUAGAGAUCUUCUAACUGGUGAACAGUUUAUUCAGCUGCGAAGGGAAUUAGCUUCUGUAAAUGGGCAUAGUGGUGAUGAUGGUCCUCCUGGUGAUGAUCUACCAUCAGGAAUUGAAGACAUAACUGAUCCAGCAAAGCUAAUUACUGAAAUAGAAAACAUGAGACAUAGAAUCAUUGAAAUUCAUCAAGAAAUGUUUAAUUAUAAUGAACAUGAAGUUAGUAAAAGAUGGACAUUUGAAGAAGGUAUUAAAAGACCUUAUUUUCAUGUGAAACCAUUGGAAAAGGCACAACUGAAAAACUGGAAAGAAUACUUAGAAUUUGAAAUUGAAAAUGGGACUCAUGAACGAGUUGUGGUUCUCUUUGAAAGAUGUGUCAUAUCAUGUGCCCUCUAUGAGGAGUUUUGGAUUAAGUAUGCCAAGUAUAUGGAAAAUCAUAGCAUUGAAGGAGUGAGGCAUGUCUUCAGCAGAGCUUGCACAAUUCAUCUCCCAAAGAAACCCAUGGUGCAUAUGCUUUGGGCAGCUUUUGAGGAACAGCAGGGUAAUAUUAAUGAAGCCAGGAAUAUCUUGAGAACAUUUGAAGAAUGUGUUCUAGGAUUGGCAAUGGUUCGUUUGAGAAGAGUAAGUUUAGAACGACGGCUUGGAAAUAUGGAAGAAGCUGAACGUUUGCUUCAGGAAGCCAUUAAAAAUGCCAAAUCAAAUAAUGAAUCAUCAUUCUAUGCUAUCAAACUAGCCCGACAUCUUUUCAAAAUACAAAAAAACCUUCCAAAAUCAAGAAAGGUGCUUUUGGAAGCUAUUGAAAGAGACAAAGAGAACACAAAGUUAUACCUCAAUUUACUUGAAAUGGAAUAUAGUGGUGACCUCAAACAAAAUGAAGAAAAUAUCCUAAAUUGUUUUGACAAAGCUAUACAUGGUUCAUUACCUAUGAAAAUGAGAAUUACAUUUUCUCAGAGAAAAGUGGAAUUUCUUGAAGAUUUUGGUUCAGAUGUUAAUAAGCUUCUGAAUGCUUAUGAUGAACAUCAAACACUCCUAAAAGAACAGGAUUCUUUAAAAAGGAAAGCAAAAUGGAUCAGAAGAACCAGAGGAAAAGAAAGCACACACAGAAGAUACAACUUCAUCAUCUACACAGAUGAUUGAUGGUGACUUACAGGCAAAUCAAGCUGCAUAUAAUUAUAGUGCCUGGUAUCAAUACAACUAUCAGAAUCCUUGGAAUUAUGGACAGUAUUAUCCUCCCCCUCCAACCUGAUGGGAAAAUUAAAUAUCAGAUGGAGUGUGUGAAAAGUUUGAAAUUAUUUUUCUUUAAUGAGGGAUGUAAACAUAGCAUAAGCUUGUUGUAUUUGAUAACUUGUCUUCCCUGUUUCUGUGUAACAUGAUUUGUUCAGUAAUAGGGGAAAAUGUCACUUAGUAGCUUACCACAGAUACUAUUUCCUACCAUUUAUAAAAUUUACUUUUUAUUGGAGAACUAUUUUUUUGAUUUUUGCAUUAAGUGGUCUAGAAUUCUUUUGCAAUGCAUUUGCAACAGAGUUUUGUAGCCUUAAGGGUAGGGGAAAAAAAACUGACUGCAAAUCAUGUCAGUGUAGUACAAGGUUCUGAAAAUACAUAAGGGCUGGUUAUUAAGGAUUUACCUCCUCAAAAAAAAAUGGCUUUUUAACCUUUGCUGACAAGAUACUGUCUGUGUGGUUCAAUUAUCCUUGUGAAUUUGGAUCGAACAGCAGAAGAUACCUAUUAAAAUAUUGUCUUGGAAUAGAGAUUAUAAAUGAGGAAUUGGAAUGUUUGCAUCCCUUUAAAAAAAUGAAAAUCAUAUCAAAACUUGUUUCAGGAGACUUUGUAUUUGGAAUAUUCAUGUUAAAACUUGUGAGCAAGCUUUCAUUUUGAUCAAACUGAUCAUCUUCGUUUUUGUAAUAAAACUGAAGACUCAUCCA